CUGAGUCCAGGGGCUUCAGGUGG
This 23-nucleotide unclassified non-coding RNA is filed under the name Mus musculus (house mouse). Its description in RNAcentral is "oocyte_clustered_small_RNA13964". The record is from RNAcentral. Lineage: Eukaryota; Metazoa; Chordata; Mammalia; Rodentia; Muridae.